This is a long non-coding RNA of Vombatus ursinus (common wombat), 2997 nucleotides long. The record is from Ensembl. Lineage: Eukaryota; Metazoa; Chordata; Mammalia; Diprotodontia; Vombatidae.
CUCUCGUCCCGGCCACUGCAGCCUGCAGUCAAAGAGUGCAGCGCCUUCUCAGCAGGUUUCUCUACCUUACUGUCCAGGGCUGCAUCUGCCGGAGCCACCGCGCUGGUCAUUUUCUAAAGGGCUCUUGUAAUCCCAGCUGGAGCUUGGUAGGGGGUGGGUCACGUGCCCAGGAGAAGGGCUGGAGGUGGAAUCUCUCGGGAGACUUCUGCUCCUUCCUCAGAGUCCCAGCAGCCGGCAUUGACAGCAAUCGUCACAGCAAUGGGGUGUUCCAGCAGCACCCAAACGCAGUCCCAGGAGAGCAGCAGGCCAGUGACCAAGACCGGUGUUACCAACGGACUGAAGCAAAGCGAUGGAAACUCUUCAAUCCCACAUGAAAAUGAAAUUUGCCUCGACAAGACAAAACAGUGUGCAGUGGAAGCAAAAGUUGAUGUUAGUGACAAAACAGGACCAAUCAACCACCUUCUAGCUGGGGAGCCCAGAGUUGUGAAGCCAUUAGCAACUGAUGGUGCUAGUUCCACCUGUGAAGAGGAACAUCCUGAGAAGGCAGAGUCUCCAGGCUCUGAGGAAAAAGCUCAAGCAGAGUAUCUGAAAUCAACAGAUAAAGCUAAGAAUCCAGGAGCAUCCGAGGAGUCUGUGCCACCCAUAUCUGCUGGAAAAAACGAACUUCCAGGAACAGAUGAAAAGGAUAACAGGGAAAUUGAGAAAGGCGCUCAGCCUGUAGGAAAUUUUGUCGAGACUGAAAUAUUUGGAACUAUAAAGGAGAUUAAACCACUGAUAACAGCUAGUGAAGUAGAACCUAUGGAAACAGGAGAACAUAAUGAGCAUCUAGGAGUGGCUGAAGAAGUUGAGCCCCAAAGAACAACGAAGGAGAAUAAGCACCUGAUAACAUCUGAAGAGGCUGAACCUCAAGAAACAGUGGAAGAUACUCAGCAUGUAGAUACUGAUAGAAAGACAGGAGUGUCAGAGGAGAACGAUUAUGUGGGAACAGCUGGUGAGACUGAAACUUCAGGAACACUGGAAGAGACUGAACAGGAGGGAAUAGCUGGAAAGACCAAAACUGCAGGAACAUGUGAAGAAACUGAGCAUGAGGAAACAGCUGGAGAAACUGAACCUUCAGGAACACAUGAAGAGGCUGAGCAUGAGGAAACAGCUGGAGAGACCAAACCUUCGGGAGUGAUGGAAGAGGCUGAGCAUGAGGGAACAGCUGGAGAGACCAAACCUUCAGGAACAAUGGAAAAGGUGACUCUGGUAACAGGUGAAAAGAACAACUUUCAGGGAACAGUUGAAGACAAUGAAUUUCCAGAAAUACUUGGGGAGGUUCAGCCUCUUGGAGCUCCUGGAAAGAACAACUACUCCAGAACAGCUAGAGGCACUGAACCUCCUGAAAGAGUGGAGAAGACUCAGUUGGUAGAAACAGUUGGAGGCACUAAACCUCCCAUAAUAGCUGAAGGGACACAGGAAGACAUGAAGCCAUGGAUGGAAGUAGCCAGGGAAAUUAACAUGAAUGAAGAGAACCAAGCAAUUGAAGGUGAGACGGGAGAAAGGGUGGAAACUGAGACGCACAGUGAGAUAGUGAGUGAGGGCUCUGAAACAAAGGAAGAAGAAACGGGAGAAGCUGUGGAUACUGCUGCAGCCACAGAGAUGGGUACGUUGGCAGAAGGGUGAAGGGCUACACCCCGCUUGCACUGAGAAGACAGGAGAACCUUAGCGAGGCUUAUUAGCACAUUUCUUAUCACCCUUCUAACUUUUGCUUUUAUUGCAUAUUUUUGUACAACCUUAGGUUCCAUAAAAUCUGAUAUUCUGUUCAAGCUGGAGUCCAGCCCCUUCAUUUUAUAGAUAAGGAAUCUGAGGCCUGGGGAGGUGAAGUGACUUUGCCCACAAUCAUGCAGGUAAUAGCAGAACCAACUCCCGGUCAUUGAUGUCCUAAUUCUUGACCUACCCGGUCUAGUCCCUCCACCUUGUUAAUGUUUGUACAACGGUGAGAAUGGUGCUAUCACGCCUUUUUUAUGCAGUCUUGUUUAGACUUGUUCCUAAAACUGCCAAGGCAAUUUAAAUUAUUUAAAAAUAACAAAAAAUUCAUACGUAGACCACAGGAUCGUAAAACUUCAGCACUAGAAGCAGUCUGAGAGAUCUCUGAUUCUGAGACUCAGAGAAUUAGCACUUACUUGAGAUCAUAUAGUUAGUGAGUGGCAGAGCAAGGAUUUAAUCCUAAAGAAAGAAUCCUUGUUAAUUAUUUAUUGAAGCAGUUAGGUGGUAUGGUGAAGGGAGUGCUGGACUUGGAGUUAGAAAGACCUGAGUUCAUCUCCUGCCCCAGACAUGCCUAUUUAUCUGUGUGACACUGGGAGCAAGUCACUUAACUUUCCAGCCUCGGUUUCCUCACCUGUAAAAUGGAAAUAACAGCAGCACCUACCUCACAGGAGUGUUGUGAGGAUCAAAUGAGAUAUUAUGUGUAUGUGUGUAUGCAUAAAACACUUUGAAAACUAUAAAGGGCUAUAUAAAUGUUAGCUAUUAUUAUUAUUUUCUCCACAAAUUUAUCUAUCCAAUCUUGGUAAUCAGUGCUCAUUCACCAAAUGUAAAGGGAAAAAAAAACAGAGACUGAAAGAAGAAAAUGUAAACCUUUAAUUAUAAGUGAUUAGAGAAGGAGUAGAAGAAAGAGUAGCAUGCUAUGGACCUGAGUGUACAUACAUACACAUGCACACACAUGUUCCUAUAUACACACCCAUGCACACAUGCACAUACACAUACACACACAUGUGUGUAUGUAUACACAUAUUUGUUAAUGGAAUCACACAGCUGUGAUGGCCACACACAGUUCACAAAUGUCCCAUCACUCAAAGAAUCCUAGAAUUUGUUGCAAAAAAGAACCCUAGAGAUCAUUAAGGCCAACCUGUUACCUUGUUUUAAAUACAUACAUCACCCUAAAAGUAAAUUUCAGUUUUAGUAAUGAUUUAUUCAUUUAUCAUUAUAUGUAAAAUAAAACAGCAAAAGUUAUUGCCA